RNAcentral lists this ribosomal RNA (1369 nucleotides) under uncultured bacterium. Its description in RNAcentral is "bacterial SSU rRNA". It matches the Rfam family "Bacterial small subunit ribosomal RNA", at positions 28 to 1381 of the family's 1533-position model. The record is from RNAcentral.
GACGAACGCUGGCGGCGUGCCUAAUACAUGCAAGUAGAACGCUGAAGAGAGGAGCUUGCUCUUCUUGGAUGAGUUGCGAACGGGUGAGUAACGCGUAGGUAACCUGCCUUGUAGCGGGGGAUAACUAUUGGAAACGAUAGCUAAUACCGCAUAACAAUAGGUGACACAUGUCAUUUAUUUGAAAGGGGCAAUUGCUCCACUACAAGAUGGACCUGCGUUGUAUUAGCUAGUAGGUGAGGUAACGGCUCACCUAGGCGACGAUACAUAGCCGACCUGAGAGGGUGAUCGGCCACACUGGGACUGAGACACGGCCCAGACUCCUACGGGAGGCAGCAGUAGGGAAUCUUCGGCAAUGGGGGCAACCCUGACCGAGCAACGCCGCGUGAGUGAAGAAGGUUUUCGGAUCGUAAAGCUCUGUUGUAAGCCAAGAACGAGUGUGAGAGUGGAAAGUUCACACUGUGACGGUAGCUUACCAGAAAGGGACGGCUAACUACGUGCCAGCAGCCGCGGUAAUACGUAGGUCCCGAGCGUUGUCCGGAUUUAUUGGGCGUAAAGCGAGCGCAGGCGGUUUGAUAAGUCUGAAGUUAAAGGCUGUGGCUCAACCAUAGUUCGCUUUGGAAACUGUCAAACUUGAGUGCAGAAGGGGAGAGUGGAAUUCCAUGUGUAGCGGUGAAAUGCGUAGAUAUAUGGAGGAACACCGGUGGCGAAAGCGGCUCUCUGGUCUGUAACUGACGCUGAGGCUCGAAAGCGUGGGGAGCGAACAGGAUUAGAUACCCUGGUAGUCCACGCCGUAAACGAUGAGUGCUAGGUGUUGGAUCCUUUCCGGGAUUCAGUGCCGCAGCUAACGCAUUAAGCACUCCGCCUGGGGAGUACGACCGCAAGGUUGAAACUCAAAGGAAUUGACGGGGGCCCGCACAAGCGGUGGAGCAUGUGGUUUAAUUCGAAGCAACGCGAAGAACCUUACCAGGUCUUGACAUCCCGAUGCUAUUUCUAGAGAUAGAAAGUUACUUCGGUACAUCGGUGACAGGUGGUGCAUGGUUGUCGUCAGCUCGUGUCGUGAGAUGUUGGGUUAAGUCCCGCAACGAGCGCAACCCCUAUUGUUAGUUGCCAUCAUUCAGUUGGGCACUCUAGCGAGACUGCCGGUAAUAAACCGGAGGAAGGUGGGGAUGACGUCAAAUCAUCAUGCCCCUUAUGACCUGGGCUACACACGUGCUACAAUGGUUGGUACAACGAGUUGCGAGUCGGUGACGGCAAGCUAAUCUCUUAAAGCCAAUCUCAGUUCGGAUUGUAGGCUGCAACUCGCCUACAUGAAGUCGGAAUCGCUAGUAAUCGCGGAUCAGCACGCCGCGGUGAAUACGUUCCCGGGCCU